Molecule: ribosomal RNA, 463 nt
Filed under: uncultured bacterium
Lineage: Bacteria
Description: partial 16S ribosomal RNA
Rfam family: Bacterial small subunit ribosomal RNA
Source: RNAcentral
GAUGAACGCUGACAGAAUGCUUAACACAUGCAAGUCUUUGGCGAAGCUGUGCUCGCACAGCCUAGCCAAGGCGGACGGGUGAGUAACGCGUAAGGAACUUGCCCUGCAGUCAGGGAUAACAGACGGAAACGACUGAUAAGACCUGGUAAAGUCAGGCGGACUCAUGUCCAGCCUGAUUAAAAGAGAUGCUGCAGGAGAGCCUUGCGUCCUAUUAGCUUGUUGGUGGGGUAACGGCCCACCAAGGCGAUGAUAGGUAGCCGGCCUGAGAGGGUGGACGGCCACAAGGGGACUGAGAUACGGCCCUUACUCCUACGGGAGGCAGCAGUGGGGAAUAUUGGACAAUGGGGGCAACCCUGAUCCAGCAAUUCUGUGUGCACGAUGAAGGUUUUCGGAUUGUAAAGUGCUUUCAGCAGGGAAGAAAAAAAUGACGGUACCUGCAGAAGAAGCGACGGCUAAAUACGUG